This 1310-nucleotide long non-coding RNA is filed under the name Cricetulus griseus (Chinese hamster). RNAcentral's name for it is "lncRNA (ENSCGRG00015015480.2)". The record is from RNAcentral. Lineage: Eukaryota; Metazoa; Chordata; Mammalia; Rodentia; Cricetidae.
AGGCGCUCACACCAGCCUCCUCGCCCUGUUUGUGCUCGCGGCUUGCGCUGUGGCGCAGCCUCCCGUGGCCGCGGGGACUCUCAGAACGCACCCCUGGAGGGUGGGCCCCAACAGCCCUGAGCACUCUCCAGCCUCGGAGCACUCGCGCCUCUCCAGAUGCAUCUACCCUCCCUGUCUGGGUGCAUCCCUAUUCCCGGGCUGACCGAGCAUGAGCACAGCUGGGGGCUGGGGCAGGUGUUGAGGGCCCCCUCCCCCCCAUUCCACCCUCCACACAAAUGCUCAGUCCCAGUGACUCAGGAGGAUAGUUGGAAGCAUGCCAGACCUAGACUUGGGAGACCUGGAAUGUGGUCACGUGACGACAGAAGCCCGCUUUGAGGGGACCAAUUCAAGCGAUCCCCAGAGGAGCCUCUUCUCUUUCUCACCCCACCCCUUGAUCCGUCACAGACUUUGGGAGCACGGAGACUCCAGGGAUUCCCGGAGCCCUCAACCAAGUCCGGCCUUUUUGGAAAGCUUGGGAAGCCCCUGGCAGGAUGCUGAGAGGAGGAAGAGCCGAGUGGGAGUGGUGGAGCAAGGGCAGGGUGGCGCAAGAGGACCCCAAAGGCUCUGCCUAUUGUUCAGCCCCCAACACUGGUGUGUUACUGAGAGCGGUCAUUUCUCUCAGCCUGUCCUGCAAAGACGACACCAAGUGCUGGCUCCUCUCCAAAGAGGGGCCUGUGUGCUGAGCCUGAGCCCCUACCGCUCUGGGGUGGUCCCGCUAAGGAUGUCACGAAAACCCUGGCACCACCAUGCCCAGCCAAAAUUAACUUUUGAGGCUGACCUUGAACUUCUGAUCUCCCUGCCUCCACCUGCCCCGGAGGUAGGAUUACAGGUCGUUCAGAUUCUGGGCUUCCCCCAUCCUUUGGCCUGCAGAGCAAAAAGCCGAGCUUCCAGGAGAGGUAUGAGACGGCUGUGGGUGCUCCAGGCCCCUCUCUGCAACUCCUGCAAGUUGCUGCGGACCGGAGGAUGACUGAGACGCAGCCUACUGCCUGUUGACAUCAGAGUUGGCGCUCCCAGGAGCGAGAGGAGGGUUAGGAACCAACAAUUCUUCUCUGAAAAUUCAGUUUAAAAUGGAUUUCAGGAUUUCUUAUUCAGAACACGGACGCUCUCCUUAGUCUCCUGUAGCCCAGGCUGGGAUUGAACUUGGCAUAUAGCCAAGGAUGAACCCGGAUCUCCUCAAGUCUCUCCUCUCCUCCUGUCAAGAGCUGGGAUGUCAGGCCAAUGUCACCACACCUGGCUCUUCCUGGUUUUCAAAUGGAAUUCAAACAAAUCUG